UCAUGGCUCAGAACGAACGCUGGCGGCGUGCCUAACACAUGCAAGUCGAGCGCGAAUAGGGGCAACCCUUAGUAGAGCGGCGCACGGGUGCGUAACACGUGGAUAAUCUGCCUGGAUGCCUGGGAUAACCAGUCGAAAGAUUGGCUAAUACCGGAUAAGCCCACGGUCUCUUCGGAGACUGAGGGAAAAGGUGGCCUCUGUAUACAAGCUAUCACAACCAGAUGAGUCCGCGGCCCAUCAGCUAGUUGGCGGGGUAAUGGCCCACCAAGGCAACGACGGGUAGCUGGUCUGAGAGGACGAUCAGCCACACUGGAACUGAGACACGGUCCAGACUCCUACGGGAGGCAGCAGUGGGGAAUUUUGCGCAAUGGGCGAAAGCCUGACGCAGCAACGCCGCGUGUGUGAUGAAGGUCUUUGGAUUGUAAAGCACUUUCGACCGGGACGAAAACCCGAAGGCUAACAUCCUUCGGCUUGACGGUACCGGGAGAAGAAGCACCGGCUAACUCUGUGCCAGCAGCCGCGGUAAUACAGAGGGUGCAAGCGUUGUUCGGAAUUAUUGGGCGUAAAGCGCGUGUAGGCGGCUUUGCAAGUCGGGUGUGAAAGCCCUCAGCUCAACUGAGGAAGUGCGCCCGAAACUGCAGAGCUUGAGUGCCGGAGAGGGUGGCGGAAUUCCCCAAGUAGAGGUGAAAUUCGUAGAUAUGGGGAGGAACACCGGUGGCGAAGGCGGCCACCUGGACGGUAACUGACGCUGAGACGCGAAAGCGUGGGUAGCAAACAGGAUUAGAUACCCUGGUAGUCCACGCCUAAACGAUGAAACUAGUGUCGUGGGAGUUGACCCCCGCGGUGCCG
RNAcentral lists this ribosomal RNA (849 nucleotides) under Corallococcus exiguus. Its description in RNAcentral is "bacterial SSU rRNA". It matches the Rfam family "Bacterial small subunit ribosomal RNA", at positions 17 to 848 of the family's 1533-position model. Lineage: Bacteria; Pseudomonadati; Myxococcota; Myxococcia; Myxococcales; Myxococcaceae. The record is from RNAcentral.